GUUUUAAUAAUUUAAUCAAAAUAUUGGUCUUGUAAACCAAAUUUAAGUAAUCUUUUAAAACU
This 62-nucleotide transfer RNA is filed under the name Aquatica ficta. RNAcentral's name for it is "tRNA-Thr". The record is from RNAcentral. Lineage: Eukaryota; Metazoa; Arthropoda; Insecta; Coleoptera; Lampyridae.